CGCAUCUGUGCAUGCAGCAUAUCAAUAAGCGGAGGAAAAGAAACUAACAAGGAUUCCCCUAGUAACGGCGAGUGAAGCGGGAAGAGCUCAAAUUUGAAAUCUUAAAGGGUUUCCCUUUACGAAUUGUAGUUUAAAGAAGUGUUUUCUGUUGAGGUUUUGGUAAAAGUUCUUUGGAAUAGGACAUCAUAGAGGGUGAGAAUCCCGUAUUUGACCUUUACUUUCAACUUUGUGAUACACUUUCAAAGAGUCGGAUUGUUUGGGAAUGCAGUCCAAAAUGGGUGGUAAAUUUCAUCUAAAGCUAAAUAUUGGCGAGAGACCGAUAGCGAACAAGUAUCGUGAGGGAAAGAUGAAAAGAACUUUGAAAAGAGAGUUAAACAGUACGUGAAAUUGUCAAAAGGGAAGCGUUUGACACCAGUGUUGUUUUUCUGAAAAUCAAUUAAAGAACUGUUUAUGCUAAGCUGUUUAGACUUUAUCAGCUAACUGUUUAGUUUUGAGCUUUUCUUUAAUGCACUUUUCAGUUAACAAGUCAACAUCAAUUUCUUUUGCUGUAAAAAAGCUUGAGGAAGGUGGCUUGAGAUUCGUCUUAAGUGUUUAUAGCCUCUUGCCUAUGCAGUCGGAGAGAUUGAGGUCUGCAGCGUAGAUCCUUCGGGGCUAAAUGCAUUUGUGCUAAGUUAUAGCAUUUUAUAGACAACUUGUUGACUAUGAUUUGUCUUGUAGCUUACUCGCUUAUGUUAUUUUACCUACGCUUAGGAUGUUGACGAGACUGUCGAUCUC
Molecule: ribosomal RNA, 774 nt
Filed under: uncultured Neocallimastigales
Lineage: Eukaryota; Fungi; Neocallimastigomycota; Neocallimastigomycetes; Neocallimastigales
Description: partial large subunit ribosomal RNA
Rfam family: Eukaryotic large subunit ribosomal RNA
Source: RNAcentral